This 72-nucleotide transfer RNA is filed under the name Choloepus hoffmanni (Hoffmann's two-fingered sloth). RNAcentral describes it as "tRNA-Ala (AGC) (tRNA-Ala-AGC-10-1)". It matches the Rfam family "tRNA". Rfam says of the family: Transfer RNA (tRNA) molecules are approximately 80 nucleotides in length. Their secondary structure includes four short double-helical elements and three loops (D, anti-codon, and T loops). The record is from RNAcentral. Lineage: Eukaryota; Metazoa; Chordata; Mammalia; Pilosa; Megalonychidae.
GGGGGUGUAGCUCAGUGGUAGAGCGCGUGCUUAGCAUGCGCGAGAACCCGGGUUCAAUUCCUGGCACCUCCA